UUAUGAGUGGAAAAAUAAAAAGGU
RNAcentral lists this non-coding RNA (24 nucleotides) under Cricetulus griseus (Chinese hamster). The record is from RNAcentral. Lineage: Eukaryota; Metazoa; Chordata; Mammalia; Rodentia; Cricetidae.